This 64-nucleotide transfer RNA is filed under the name Colossendeis brevirostris. RNAcentral describes it as "tRNA-Arg". Lineage: Eukaryota; Metazoa; Arthropoda; Pycnogonida; Pantopoda; Colossendeidae. The record is from RNAcentral.
AAGUAAAAAACGAAAGUUAUUGUAUUUGAUUUCGACUCAAAUUUUGGUGUAUUACCUUUACUUA